This 46-nucleotide non-coding RNA is filed under the name Schistosoma haematobium. The record is from RNAcentral. Lineage: Eukaryota; Metazoa; Platyhelminthes; Trematoda; Strigeidida; Schistosomatidae.
GCACUGCUGAGGAGUCCCAAAAUAGGACGAAACAGUCGUCCAGUGC